Glycine soja is the source of this 144-nucleotide non-coding RNA. NCBI's taxonomy places the organism in Eukaryota, Viridiplantae, Streptophyta, Magnoliopsida, Fabales, Fabaceae. The record is from Rfam.
GUUUGAUUGAACGAUAAUUGCCACUUGUUAUGUUCUGAUUGACCAAUGAUUACAAGAAUGCAUUUCAUCGUCCAUCGAGUCAACAUCUCAUGACACGUGACAGUUAUCGUCCAAUCAGAACGUGACACGUGACAGUCAAAAUUC